GACGAACGCUGGCGGAGGGAAGAAUAAAGGAAAGUAGAACGCUGAAGGAGGAGCUUGCUUAUCAGGAUGAGUUGCGAACGGGUGAGUAACGAGUAGGUAAAAUGCAUGGUAGCGGGGGAUAACUAUUGGAAACGAUAGCUAAUACCGCAUAACAGUAGAUGUUGCAUGACAUUUGCUUAAAAGGUGCAAUUGCAUCACUACCAGAUGGACCUGCGUUGUAUUAGCUAGUUGGUGAGGUAACGGCUCACCAAGGCGACGAUACAUAGCCGACCUGAGAGGGUGAUCGGCCACACUGGGACUGAGACACGGCCCAGACUCCUACGGGAGGCAGCAGUAGGGAAUCUUAGGCAAUGGACGGAAGUCUGACCGAGCAACGCCGCGUGAGUGAAGAAGGUUUUCGGAUCGUAAAGCUCUGUUGUAAGAGAAGAACGAGUGUGAGAGUGGAAAGUUCACACUGUGACGGUAUCUUACCAGAAAGGGACGGCUAACUACGUA
This 495-nucleotide ribosomal RNA is filed under the name uncultured bacterium. Its description in RNAcentral is "partial 16S ribosomal RNA". It matches the Rfam family "Bacterial small subunit ribosomal RNA", at positions 28 to 507 of the family's 1533-position model. The record is from RNAcentral.